CCUACGGGGGACAGCAGUCGAGAAUCAUUCACAAUGGGGGAAACCCUGAUGGUGCGACGCCGCGUGGGGGAAUGAAGGUCUUCGGAUUGUAAACCCCUGUCAUGUGGGAGCAAAUUAAAAAGAUAGUACCACAAGAGGAAGAGACGGCUAACUCGGUGCCAGCAGCCGCGGUAAUACAGAGGUCUCAAGCGUUGUUCGGAAUCACUGGGCGUAAAGCGUGCGUAGGCUGUUUCGUAAGUCGUGUGUGAAAGGCGCGGGCUCAACCCGCGGACGGCACAUGAUACUGCGAGACUAGAGUAAGGGAGGGGGAACCGGAAUUCUCGGUGUAGCAGUGAAAUGCGUAGAUAUCGAGAGGAACACUCGUGGCGAAGGCGGGUUCCUGGACAUUAACUGACGCUGAGGCACGAAGGCCAGGGGAGCGAAAGGGAUUAGAUACCCGAGUAGUC
This 446-nucleotide ribosomal RNA is filed under the name uncultured bacterium. RNAcentral describes it as "partial 16S ribosomal RNA". It matches the Rfam family "Bacterial small subunit ribosomal RNA", at positions 338 to 795 of the family's 1533-position model. The record is from RNAcentral.